This 961-nucleotide long non-coding RNA is filed under the name Elaeis guineensis (African oil palm). Its description in RNAcentral is "long non-coding RNA (EGUI_LNC041477)". The record is from RNAcentral. Lineage: Eukaryota; Viridiplantae; Streptophyta; Magnoliopsida; Arecales; Arecaceae.
UAGGUGCAAUUUUUGUGUGAUUCAGUCCUUCUAUCGUGAGUUCUGACUUGAUGGUAAGUCAUAGAUAAAUCAUCAAAUCUCAACAUCAGUCAUUUGAUAGAUUUAAUUAGCUCAAGUCCAAAAGUAAUUCACAUGAAAACUCUUUUCUAUUAACCACACUACGGUAGCCAUAGACUUAAAGACUCAGCCUCUCUAAUUUUAUAAGACUACUCUCUCUCAAGAUCAAUAAAUUCUAUUUAGAUGCGCACUCUGCUCCUACGGUGGAUCAACUGUCGCCAACAUACACUACAAGAACUCAAGUAGCUAAGAGGUCAUAUUUAUAUGUAGUCAAACUCCAGCAGUCUCACUGUGAGCUAUCGUGCCACUGCAGGUCAAAAGAUUAUUCACACAACUAUAACAUCGAAAUAAUUAUUGACGAUUGAGUAAACAUCCAUGUGAUCUCUUGUAUGGUCACAUUUAGUAUUAGUUGUUCUCUAAUAACUAUCCGUACUUGCCACUUAAUAUCUUUACACUGUAGAUUAGAAACUCAUCUAUCCUGAAGGAAACGAUCUGUACGUCAGUCUAUCCAGAUCGAUCAUCGUCCUCAUGAUGAUACUAUGACUGGAAGUAAUUUAAAAAUUAAUUAUACAUACCUCUAAUUCUCAAUACUUUGAGAAUAUGUAUCUUAAGCAUUAAUUUUUUAGAUGAUUUAAGGAUACAUCACACUUGAAUGAAGAUAAAACUUAUCCUUUUAUUGAUCAAAUCAAUGUUUUAAUAUAAAUUUGUAUCCUAGAAAAAUAUAAUGUGUCAGCCAUAUUGACUUUUAGGACAUACAUCUAACACAUACGACCACCGACAUUGAGACAUAUGAAUAGAGCAAUUAAGCCGAUACAUACUUAAAUUAACCUGGUUCACACUGAGUAUUGCAUAGUAUAUAAUUAUAUUACCAACAUAUACAGUUUAUAUAAUAUUAACCUACCGC